UAACCUGCCCAAGAGAUCGGGAUAACACCUGGAAACAGAUGCUAAUACCGGAUAACAACAGAUGAUGCCUAUCAACUGUUUAAAAGAUGGUUCUGCUAUCACUCUUGGAUGGACCUGCGGUGCAUUAGCUAGUUGGUAGGGUAACGGCCUACCAAGGCGAUGAUGCAUAGCCGAGUUGAGAGACUGAUCGGCCACUAUUGGGACUGAGACACGGCCCAAACUCCUACGGGAGGCAGCAGAU
Molecule: ribosomal RNA, 241 nt
Filed under: uncultured Lactobacillus sp.
Lineage: Bacteria; Bacillati; Bacillota; Bacilli; Lactobacillales; Lactobacillaceae
Description: partial 16S ribosomal RNA
Rfam family: Bacterial small subunit ribosomal RNA
Source: RNAcentral